This is a long non-coding RNA of Rattus norvegicus (Norway rat), 706 nucleotides long. RefSeq lists it as uncharacterized. The record is from RefSeq and is a predicted model, not a curated record. Lineage: Eukaryota; Metazoa; Chordata; Mammalia; Rodentia; Muridae.
UACAGUCCAGGUUGGCCUCAAGUCCUUAUCAGCUGAAGAUGAUCUUUCCUGAUCCUCCUGCUUCAACUUCCUUCCGGCUGAGAUGGCAGUCGCCAUGCCUAUCCUGAUGAAUUCCUAAUCUGAAGGAUUAAGACAAACUACUUUGGAGUGUUAGACAGGCUUUCCCUCUAGGUGUGUUGACACACACUUUCAGCCAAGGUCAAAGGAUGCAGAAGGAAGGGGAACUCUGUAAAUCUGAGGCCAGCCUGGUCUACAUAGCAAGGAGAGCCAGACCACGGUGAGAGGCCCUGUCUUUAACAAAAAAGGAGGGACGGAGGGUCUCGCUGCACAGCACUCAAUGGCUGGGGACUCUGUAGAACAAGCUGUCCACAACUCCCUACCCCGGCCCCCGCCUCCAAGCUGUUGGACUCGCUCACGGCCUUGUACCACCACACUAGGCUUUAGAAAAGAAUCUCAUAUAAUUUAUCUGUCAACUGAAGCAAAAGACUCCUCUUAUCCCAAUCGACACCCAGUCCUCCAAGUGUCUUUAAAGUAGCACUAUAGGGCUGGAGCAAUGGCUCAGUAGUUAAGAGCACGGACUGCUCUUCCAGAGGUCCUGAGUUCAAAUCCCAGCAACCACAUGGUGGCUCACAACCAUCUGUAAUGGGAUCUGAUGCCCUCUUCUGGUGUGUCUGAACACAGUGACAGUAUAAAAAAAUAAAUAAAC